GCCGCCGUAGUAUAGCCCGGCCAAGUAUGCGGGCCUCUCGAGAAGGCCCGUGCGCGGGAGACCCGGGUUCAAAUCCCGGCGGCGGCA
This 87-nucleotide transfer RNA is filed under the name Staphylothermus hellenicus DSM 12710. Its description in RNAcentral is "tRNA-Glu". It matches the Rfam family "tRNA". Rfam says of the family: Transfer RNA (tRNA) molecules are approximately 80 nucleotides in length. The record is from RNAcentral. Lineage: Archaea; Thermoproteati; Thermoproteota; Thermoprotei; Desulfurococcales; Desulfurococcaceae.